Molecule: non-coding RNA, 131 nt
Organism: Suncus etruscus (white-toothed pygmy shrew)
Lineage: Eukaryota; Metazoa; Chordata; Mammalia; Eulipotyphla; Soricidae
Product: small Cajal body-specific RNA 15
Exons: 1
Source: RefSeq, a predicted model, not a curated record
CUGGAGACCAAGCACAAGGAGUCCUUGAAGUCAAGGUGACUCUCUCUGCUGGGAGCCUCCAAAAUGAAAAGGUAGAUUGAACAGGUCUUGUGUGCACAGUAAAAGCAAGACCUACUCAUCUACCCACAGCA